Molecule: unclassified non-coding RNA, 1070 nt
Filed under: Hevea brasiliensis (rubber tree)
Lineage: Eukaryota; Viridiplantae; Streptophyta; Magnoliopsida; Malpighiales; Euphorbiaceae
Source: RNAcentral
GAGGCUAUUAAAUACCUGCCAAAUGGAACAAGACAGUGAGCAAAUGACAGUUUAGCUAAAUCAAACUUUUUAUGUUUUCAUUCUUGGGUGCACUGAUAACUCCUAACAAACGACCUGAAUUAUUCAAUUAGCCUCUUUUUCACCCAACAACACCGCUCCACACCUUAAAGGAAGAAAGGGAAAAAGAAGAAAACCAAAGUAAGCUAUCAUCAAUUUUCACCAGCAAUCAAAUGUUGAAGGCAAGCACACCAUGCUUUUGUCCUCUAGAUUUUUCUCCUCCUUUUAUAAAAGGAGAAAGAAAAUGUCAAAACAAUCCUACUUUGGGAACUAUGGGAGCAGGCAACAUACUUUUACUUAAGAGUCUUUUCUUAAAACAAAUAAUGCUUUGACAAUAGCCAGCAAAGGGACCAUCUAAUUUGUGAGAAAGAAUAGCACUGUCCAGUGACAAAGAUACAUCAACUUUUAAAACAAUCAUGACAAAUCAUUCCUAUCUGCCUUCUAGGAGACGCUUUGUUUGCCAAGCAAAUCAAGUCAAAAUGUUCAGAAAACAGAAAAAUGACACACAGCAUGACAACAACCACAUAAACUGUGUACUCUUCUUUUUGGGAGUGUGUCUGCUGUGUGUGCGUUCAUUGCAACACUUGAUUAACCUCUCUUUUAGUCUAGCCCAAACAUAAACCACUGACCAUUGCAACUGAAGGAACACAACAAAUUGAGGAACAAAAGUGCCCCAAAGAAAUAGAUUCCACACUGGGUUGUAUGCUAAGUAAUGUGUCUCCCACAAAAGAAGGGAAGGGAAUGUUCUCAAAUCUCAGGUUCAAACUCAGGAUAUGUGGGACAAGGCUGGACAUUUAGACCCGUGUUAAUACUAACGGGACAAGCUUAUCCAAAAACUUAUACACAGACAGAUCUUAUUUUGCUUAAUCUUAGGCAAACUAUUCUCUUAUAAAUGGGACAUAUGCUAUCCAACAAUUUGUGAUUUCAUUAUCAAUGGAAUAUUUGAAAUCAUUUUAUGCACUGUUAGGGUUAUCGAACCCUAACAAAUGUUUCUUCCUAAAAUAGAAUAGAAC